Limulus polyphemus (Atlantic horseshoe crab) is the source of this 858-nucleotide long non-coding RNA. RefSeq lists it as uncharacterized. The record is from RefSeq and is a predicted model, not a curated record. The transcript is spliced from 3 exons. Lineage: Eukaryota; Metazoa; Arthropoda; Merostomata; Xiphosura; Limulidae.
CAGAAUACUACUGACAUGGAUGUAGAAGGUUUAUAGACAGAAUAUUACUGACACGGAUGUAGAAGGUUUAUACACAGAAUACUACUGACACGGAUGUAGAAGGUUUAUAGACAAUAUUACUGACACGGAUGUAGAAGGUUUAUAGACAGAAUAGUACUGACACGGAUAAGGUUUUAUUGAUGGUAAAAGAAGGGUUUCUAGACAGGGUAUUAUUGACAGGAGAAAAAGUUCAUAGACAGGGUGGGACAGUAUUUGUAGAAAAGGUAUUAUUGACAUGGGUAUAACAGUAUUUGUAGACAAGGUAUUAUUGACACAGGUGUAACAGUGUUUAUAGAAAAGGUAUUAUUGACACGGGUAUAACAGUAUUUGUAGGCAAGUUAUUAUUGACAUGGGUAUAACAGUAUUUGUAGACAAGGUAUUAUUGACACAGGUGUAACAGUGUCUGAAGACAGGGUAUUACUGACACAGAUGUAACAGUGUUUACAGAAAAGGUAUUAAUGACAAGGUGGAACAGUGUUUGCAGACACUGUUCUACUUGUGUCUACAAACACUGUUCCACUUGUGUCAAUAAUACCCUGUCUGCAAACACAAGUAGAACAGUGUUUGUAGACAGGGUAUUAUUGACACGGGUGGAACGGUGUUUGUAGACAGGAUAUUACUGACACGGGUGGAACGGUGUUUGUAGACAGGAUAUUAUUGACACGGGUGAAACAGUAUUUAUAGACAGGGUAUUACUGACACGGGUGGAACAUUGUUUGUAGACAGGAUAUUACUGACACGGGUGAAACAGUGUUUGUAGACAGGAUAUUACUGACAUGGGUGGAACAGUGUUUGUAGACAGGAUAUUACUGACACGGG